ACCUAUGUUACACUGUGAAAAUGCCUUCGAUGUCUCUCCUGUGGUUCGACACGUGCAGAAUCUCUCUAUGGAUUAUUAUUUUCAAAAUAUGAAAGAAGUAUUUAUACGGAAUCAUUUCGAUCUCCUCGAAAAAUACCAGAAAUCGGAUAUGCUUUUAACCAAGUUAGCAGCCAGGGUCAGAUUUUUCAAGCAGGGUCCUCUGGAAAGCUGGACCUCUAAAGUAAGGAAUGCUAGACCUUCAAAAAUGCAAUAGAAGUGUAGAGUUUCCCACUUGUAAAUGCUACGUUACAGUUGAACGUCAAGAAUCUUAAGAACUGAUAAGCGAGUAAUCGCUUGGGUUCGUGUGACAAGAAACAACAAGCUGGAAGGCUGUUUCCCUGGACUUUCCCGUCUUUUGGAGCGUCUUUGGAGGCAAGCAAACGGUUUCCUGUUCUGCCUGCGCUGCCUGACUUCCGCACUGAGGAUUCAUCCUAUAAGCUAGAGGUAGCUGGACUUCACGACGGCGACUGUUCCGCAGAUGACUGAAUGAACUUUUAAUUUUAAUUGAAAACUAAAGAUAAAUAUAAUAAUGAUCUUUAUAAUAAUGUAAAACUUUAUUAUUACACUGAAGAAUAAAAGCAGUGGUUUAAAAAAUAAAA
RNAcentral lists this unclassified non-coding RNA (638 nucleotides) under Stegodyphus dumicola. Its description in RNAcentral is "uncharacterized LOC118182592, transcript variant X2". Lineage: Eukaryota; Metazoa; Arthropoda; Arachnida; Araneae; Eresidae. The record is from RNAcentral.